UUGUAUGCUUCAGUUCUCACGUUCUUGAUGCAGAAACGCAAAAUCACAAGACUGGCAGGACACAACAAAUUUAGGUAGAAACAUGACAGAUCCCAAGGCCGGGAAUUGAAUGGAUAGUAUAUUAACCACACCUGCCAAGGGCUCCACAGCAUAGAACACAUUCAUAAGCCAUCUAACAACCACACAGAAAACUCAAAGGAAAUGCAAAAACUAGAUACCGAGUAUUGAACACACCCAAUGUUUCAAUGGAACAAUUUUCCUUCCGAUUUGCAAGAAUUUAUAAUCAAUAUGAAAUGAAACAAUUUAGGCAUCCUCAUUAUACGGAUGAGUCCUUGGGACACUGCACAAAACUUAAACAUACACAAAUUAAGC
This 372-nucleotide long non-coding RNA is filed under the name Trifolium pratense (red clover). RNAcentral describes it as "long non-coding RNA (TPRA_LNC002317)". Lineage: Eukaryota; Viridiplantae; Streptophyta; Magnoliopsida; Fabales; Fabaceae. The record is from RNAcentral.